Molecule: unclassified non-coding RNA, 253 nt
Filed under: uncultured Myxococcales bacterium
Lineage: Bacteria; Pseudomonadati; Myxococcota; Myxococcia; Myxococcales
Description: contains 16S-23S intergenic spacer region
Rfam family: Bacterial small subunit ribosomal RNA
Source: RNAcentral
GACAGAGGGUGCAAGCGUUGUUCGGAAUCAUUGGGCGUAAAGCGCGCGUAGGCGGCUAUGCAAGUCGGAUGUGAAAGCCCAGGGCUUAACCUUGGACGUGCACCCGAAACUGCAUGGCUUGAGUCUCGGAGAGGGUGGUGGAAUUCCCAGUGUAGAGGUGAAAUUCGUAGAUAUUGGGAGGAACAUCAGUGGCGAAGGCGGCCACCUGGACGAUGACUGACGCUGAGGUGCGAAAGCGUGGGUAGCAAACAGG